UAGCAGUCAUCGUGGGGUAUAGUGUCACAUGACUUCCUUUUAUCUUGUCUGGACAGGAUGAGUUUACUUAUUCUUUAUCAGGGUGGCUAGACUUCUCGAAGUGAGUUCUGCCCAUAAGAUGUGGCUGAAGCAAGACCUAAAAAUGUAGCCUGAAUUACUUGUAUGCAACCCUGACCCUCACAUAGAAAAAAAUCCCAAGCACCAGCCUCCAGAGCUGAUAAUUAUAAUAUUAUGGCAGCUGGUGUUUUUGUUUUUCUGUUAGAAGUCUACAAACUACAAAAGCUCUGACUGAAGUAGACAAGAAACAAAUUCAAAAGAUCCUCACAAUUGAUUCAACUGGAAGACUUGUGUGUUUUCUCCUUGCUGCUCUACUCAAGAUAGUCUGUGUAACUGCUGCAGGAGCUGCGUCAUCACAGACCAAGGGAAAAAAGUAGAUAACUACCAUGGAUAAUAAGAAACUAACAAGAGCUUCUGAUGUUGAGAAGAGGGAAGAAAAAAUACUCCACUUCAAAUUCUUAAGUCUUUUAACUUUAUU
Neopsephotus bourkii (Bourke's parrot) is the source of this 535-nucleotide long non-coding RNA. RefSeq lists it as uncharacterized. NCBI's taxonomy places the organism in Eukaryota, Metazoa, Chordata, Aves, Psittaciformes, Psittacidae. The transcript is spliced from 6 exons. The record is from RefSeq and is a predicted model, not a curated record.